CGCAGAGCAUUGUGGGAAACGUAUUCGAGGAACUUCGACGUUCACUCAUUGACCCAAGGAAGGAUGGCGAACAUCCUCUGAGAUCAGAAGAUGGAAUCAUCAAGAGAACAGAGACCAGCACUGGGCGGUAGCAGGGAGGCAGACCUUGUGAAUACGCCCCUUGGGGAGGAGCCAGUGAAGGCGCACCUGCGGGCAUCGCAGCAGCUCUUGGUGGAUUCUCUGUACAACAUCGCCCCACUUCUCGACCACAUGUUGGCCGCCAAUCUGCUCUCCCAAGACAACUACUUCCAGGUUCAAGCGGAACGAACACCAACCGAUCGUGCUCGCAAGCUGCUUGAGGUGGUUCACGCCCAGAUGGAUGAGCGUGGGGUGCAGGCUUUCCUAGACUGCCUGAGGAAGUGUGAGAACCAUUACCCCCGCCUGCGCAAGUGGUUUCACAGGACCAUAGAAUCUCAGUGUGAAAACGUAGCUGUUCGGUGUGGUCCAACAGAAACCAGGCUCCGGGCUCAGUUCAGUAUGCUGUGUCAUCGUCUGGGUGUCUCGGUGCUGCCUGUUUCUCUCCAGCUAUUCUCUGAAGGAACACUUACUCAGCUGGAGGUGGACCAGGUGCAGUCUUUGCCCACCUCUUACCAGCAGAUUCAGCGUCUCCUGUCCAUCUGUUUGUCAAAGGGCGAGAAUGCCUGUAGGGGCUUCUACCAGGCUUUCCAUGGGGAAGAUGCACACCUAGCCAAAGAGAUCGAUGCUCACUCUAUCACUGAAGAAGACACAAAAAGCCUGCUCUCUGUGGCUGUGGAAGAGAGCAGAACUGCAGCUCCCCUGGAUGAGCCUGACACAGAUGUGCUGCAGAAGGCAUUGGAUAUAGUGGGUGGUGCUCUGGCUGAAGGUGCGAGGCUCAACGUGUGCGAGUUGGGCGUAGCUCUGGGGCUGUGUCGUGACGAUGUCCGUGAUUGUCUCCUGGAAGAUGUGGACAUUGACGGUGGUGCUCAGCUUAGGGCCCUGGUAACCCUCUUUUUGGAGAAGACCCAGGACGGCUCUCGGCUGCUCGCAAAGCUGGCAGAGUGCGAUUUACAGAGGCUGCAACUCUCAGAGAGAGGGAUCCUGCUCCUGGAGCUGCUGGCAGAAGCAGAUCAUCUCCUCCAUGAUGGCCGUGUCCAGCCUCUGGUGGUGCACAUCUUCACCUUCCUGCUGUGGGACACCCUGACAGAGGCAGCGGAGGAGCCAAGCGCAGAACUACGGUCAGGCGUACCAGAAGCUGUGCAGAUGCUGCGGACCGGCGGCAGGGUGGAGGCAGAGCUGCUGCUGGAGCUGGAGGAGUGCUGGGAAGAAGAGCCAACGGUGGACAGCUUGCGGCAGUUUGCACGCGCUCUCUCUCUGCUGAUCCAGGAUUUGUACCCUUGUCAGGACAGCCUGCACCUGUGCGCUGCCCACCACAAAGGGGAACUGGCUGUUUGCAGGCCACGAAGGCUUCAAAGGAUCACACGCUUCCGAGGCCUGCCCGGCAGGAUCAUCAGCAGGGCAUUGGGUACCCUGCCGUCAACAUCUGAAUCUCUGCAGAACCAGUACCGGGGAAUCUGCCUAGCUGUAGCUCGUCUGCUGGAGCGUCUGUGCCCCGCAGAAGGUGGUACUGCUCACCUGCCUAGUGCUGCUACUGCUGCCACUGCCAGUGCAAGCACCGCCAAGAUCACCCAGCAUGUGCGUGCCAUGUUGGCCCAGCCUGCCUUCAGUUCGGAUGUGUUUGACGGUGGCGUUCGACAUCGCCUGCUCUCAGUGCUCCACUUUGAUCCUGCAAAACUGGAGCUGCCCUGCCUGCUGAAGCUGCACCGGGACAGCCUGGAAGUUCUGGGACGCUACCUGAGAGUCAGCGAGCGUCACUCCUUCCAGCUGCACCCAGAUGGACUGCUAGUGCUGGGGGGCAGAGCUGAACUCUACUGGGCUGAAAGUGUCACAGGCCCUGUUGCCAUUGACAAUGGGAUGGAAGAGGUGUUUCGUUUCCUCACCUCGGGUCCUGCCUCCAUGCUUAUGCGUAUUUGUUGCCACGGUUACGAGGAUAGGGAGUACUUCCGAGUGCACGAGCCCCACUGUGUAUGUCUGUCAGGCCUGGGAGAGGGGGGCGUUGCUGAGUUGCAACGCAUGGGGUUGCAGGUGCUGGGAGAAGAAUCAGGCGAGGUCUGGGUGAGGGAGGCUGGGUCAGCCAAUGAGCUUGUCACAUUGGCAGAGAAACAUGGCAGCCAGGUGCAGGAAGCUGGCUGCUGUUUCCUGCUCAAAACCCCAGGGCCUCACUGUGAGGUCAGGUUUGUGUACAAACACAGGAGGAUCACAGCAUCUAGCAAGAGCAACUGUGAAGUGAUAUAA
RNAcentral lists this long non-coding RNA (2352 nucleotides) under Scleropages formosus (Asian bonytongue). RNAcentral's name for it is "lncRNA (ENSSFOG00015026466.1)". The record is from RNAcentral. Lineage: Eukaryota; Metazoa; Chordata; Actinopteri; Osteoglossiformes; Osteoglossidae.